This is a non-coding RNA of Cajanus cajan (pigeon pea), 1938 nucleotides long. The record is from RefSeq and is a predicted model, not a curated record. Lineage: Eukaryota; Viridiplantae; Streptophyta; Magnoliopsida; Fabales; Fabaceae.
UCGAAAUGCGGCAUGAUAUAAAUAUCAAAACGACAUGUUUUUAUUUUGGAACAUUUAAAAAAGAAAAGAACGAGGAGGGAAGAGGAGACGAGGCUCUAGUGAAACACGACGAACGAGACUUACUCCUGGGCUUCGCUGUUGUUGGCGCAACGACAAACACCUCCGCUACACUCGCACGCGUCUUAGCAUUAGCAGGCUCAAUUACUGGAAUGUCUAGAGGCUUUUUCACCGUUGGAAAUGGCUUCGGCACUGGGAUAGGAAUUGGCUUAACAAUUGGAACAGGCUUAAUUACUGAAAUAGGUUGAGGCAUUUUUAAUAUUGCCUUAACACUUGAAAUUGGCUUUGGUAUAGGCUUCUGUUAGGAAAAAUUCAAGUGUUGCCUACAGAUUAUUAAAAAGAGUCACCCAUCAUUUAUCCACUUGCUAGGGAUGUCCACAAAACUAUUUAAAACUAAACUUUUUAAAUAACUAAACUAAACUAAAAUAAACUAAAUUAUUUUUUAAUAGUUUAAACCAAACUAUUAUUUUUAGUGUAGUUUAUAAAGCUAAACUAUUAAAAUUAAUAAUUCAGUUCACUAAAACUAAAUUCAAGCACUGAAUCCAAACACAUUUACGGAAACUAAAUCCAAACACAUUCACGGAGAGUUACCAGACUACAACGUUCGCCGAUCGGACUCGCGGAGACGUAGGUGGGUCUUCCAAUUUUGCUUCAAUCUUCACUUCUCAAGGAUGGUUCUUCACUUCUUCUGAUUCUUCUUCACUUCUUUCGAUUCUUCUUCAUUCUUCUUCAUUCUUCACCCUUGAUUGUGUGACAAACUCGCAGGUGGGUCUUCGGAUUCCUCUUCACUUUUCACUUUUACUGGGUUAUUUGAUUUUGACUGAACUAUUGGGUGUUUCUGUUCAAUUUGGGUUUGAGCUGCAUAAGUAAAGAAAUAUUUUUGUUGCUUGCACUCCAUGUGUUUGAUAAUUUGUAGGCAAUUUGCUAGACUUCAAUUCCCUGCAUUAUGAGUGAUCCAAUGGUCUAGUUUAGAAGUAAAGGGUCACAUUCAUAGACUAGCAUCAAACACAUUCAUAGAAAUGAAUUGCGUCAUGAACGGUAUGCUAUCCAUGUUAACCCGGAGAAAAGCUGCAGGCGAAGGGCUUGCACAUGGUACAGUUCAUUCUUCUCUCAUUAGCUUUCCUGUGUGCUCUAGAUUCUUAUUCUUUCAUUUCUGCCUUUUGGGUUGUGUUAGAAAUUGUAAAUGUUUGAAGCAAUUCUCAAUAGUUGUAGACAGAUGGUUUCUCUAAUGCAACAUCAGGGAAAGAAAUUGUUUUGCUCACUGAUGAAUAUGUAUAAUGUUGAGACAGUAUCUACUAGACAAGGUUACAUUUACACUGGAAUAUGUUGCAGCUAAUGGUUGAUGGAAAAUUGAGGGUAUAGAUAAGGCCAACGUUGCUUAUGGUCAUCCUAGAUUGCUUUGUAGAACUUGAUGCUGUGUUUAACUUUGAUUAAAUUUGUGAAAGUUUAAAUCACAAUAUAUUAAGAAUCAGGUCUUUCUACUAGGCAACUUUGUCUAACCAGAUUGAGUUAGUGCAGUAGUAUAAAGGGGGGAGGUGUUGGGGAGUUUAAGUUAUUUUGUUGGGUCUAGAGAGUGUAUUAAUGAUUUGAGGGAGGGAUAGUUGUGAUACUUCAAGAGGUUCCCAUCAACUAAACAAAUACAGUUAAACCUUCAUUGAGCCUUUUAAUAGUAGAGAAACUUGUGGUUACUGGUUGUAUUGUAUGUGAAAUUAAAUUAGCAAUAUUUGGAAAUUUAAGUGAACCAUACUCAAGUAUGGAGCUUUAGGCUGUUUAAGGUGCAUUUUUUAGGGGUGAUUGUGUAGUAGCAGGGUUAAUAAUAAAGUGAAAAACAGGCAUUAUCUACUCUGUUUUUGGACAAGUAUGAUGUAGAGUAUGAAAAAA